ACAAGUACCGUGAGGGAAAGUUGAAAAGUACUUUGAAAAGAGAGUGCAAGAGAACGUGAAAUCGAUAUAAUGGAAGCGAAUGAAGUCGGCGUAUCUAGUGCGUAUUCAAUUGUCGACGUUGUGCAUGUAUGGUUGUUCGCGUAUUCCGCAAGGUUGCGUCAGCCGUAGGCCCGGUUGCAUACGUUCGAUAAUGCAUUUGCGUACAGAGUGCGACGAAACACACGAUUCAUUAUCGGUUGAUGUUGGCGUAGAGGGCAAGUCGACUUUGGUUGGUUUGUAACCUGCGCUUUCAACGGAUAAAUUUGAACCGAUUAAUGUUGUGUGUAUUUGAAUGGAAGGCAUUGGCCCACGUUGUUGGUUUUGCGGUUUGGUGUUUGCAUUAAUGAGUGCAUGCAUUCGUUAUGUUUAAGCAUCCGAUCGUAACGCCAUUAACACUUUGCCCAUUUCGUCGUAUAGUCGAUCACUCAUUUGACCCGUCUUGAAACACGGACCAAGGAGUUUAUAGUACACGCGAGUCAUUGAGUGUUUUCAAAGCUCAAAGGCGUAAUGAAAGUGAAACCGUUAACGGUUGAAACGUGAUCGUUGAGCUUUUUCCAAGGUUCGGCGAGCAACGUUGCCCCAUUCCUCGAACCGCGUGUUCUGGUGUGGAGGUUGAGCGUGUGCAAUGAGACCCGAAAGAUGGUGAACUAUGCCUGAACAGGAUGAAGUCAGAGGAAACUCUGAUGGAAGUCCGAAACGGUUCUGACGUGCAAAUCGAUCGUCUGAUUUUGGUAUAGGGGCGAAAGACUAAUCGAACCAUCUAGUAGCUGGUUCCUUCCGA
Molecule: ribosomal RNA, 820 nt
Filed under: Devibursaphelenchus wangi
Lineage: Eukaryota; Metazoa; Nematoda; Chromadorea; Rhabditida; Aphelenchoididae
Description: eukaryotic LSU rRNA
Rfam family: Eukaryotic large subunit ribosomal RNA
Source: RNAcentral